Molecule: long non-coding RNA, 2013 nt
Organism: Oncorhynchus mykiss (rainbow trout)
Lineage: Eukaryota; Metazoa; Chordata; Actinopteri; Salmoniformes; Salmonidae
Source: Ensembl
AUGAUCCCUAGUGAUAUUAGUAGUAGUAGUGGUAGUAGAAGUAGUAGUAGUAGUGGUAGUAGUAGUAGUGGUAGUAGUUGUAGUGGUAGUAGUUGGCUUAGUGGUAGUAGUAGUAGUGGUAGUAGCCCUAAUGGUAGUAGUGGUAGUAGAGGUCUUAGGCCUAGUGGUAGUAGUAGUAGUAGUGUUAGUAGCCAUCGCGGUAGUAGUAGUAUUGGUAGUAGAACUAAUGCUAGUAGUGGUAGUAGUAUUAGUAGUGGUAGUAGUGGAAGUAGUUGUAGUAGAAGUGGCUGUAGUACUAGUGGUAGUAAUAGCAGUAGUGGUAGUAGUAGUUGUAGUAGUUGUAGUUGUGGUAGACGUAGUAGUAGUGGUUGUUUUACUAGUGGUAGUAGUAGUAGUAGUAGUGGUAGUACUGGUAGUAGUGGUAGUAGUCCUUGUGGUAGUAGUGGUGGUAGUAGUAGUAGUAGUAGUAGUAGUGGUAGUAGUAGUAGUAGUGGUAGUAGCCCUAGUGAUAUUAGUAGUAGUAGUGGUAGUAGAAGUAGUAGUAGUAGUGGUAAUAGUAGUAGUGGUAUGAUCCCUAGUGAUAUUAGUAGUAGUAGUGGUAGUAGAAGUAGUAGUAGUAGUGGUAGUAGUUGUAGACAUAGUAGUUGGCUUAGUGGUAGUAGUAGUAGUGGUAGUAGCCCUAAUGGUAGUAGUGGUAGUAGAGGUCUUAGGCCUAGUGGUAGUAGUAGUAGUAGUGUUAGUAGCCAUAGCGGUAGUAGUAGUAUUAGUGGUAGUAGUAGUAGUAGUAGUGGUAGUAGCCUUAGUAGUAGCAGUCAUGGUAGUAGUAGUAGUAGUAGUAGUAGAAAUAGUAGUAGUGGAAGUAGGCCUAGUAGUGGUAGUGGUAGUAGUAGUGGUAGUAGUAGUAGUAGUAGUGGCGGUAGUAGUAGUAGUAUUAGUGGUAGUAGUAGUAGUUGUGGUAGUUGGCCUAGUAGUAGUAAUUGUAGUAGUAGUAGUAGUAGUAGUAGUAGUAGUAGUGGUAGUGGUAGUAGUAGUAGUAGUGGUAGAAGUAGUAGUAGUGGUAGUAGCCCUAGUAGUAGUAGUAGUACUAGUAGUAGUGGUAGUAGUUGUACUAAGCCUAGAAGUAGUAUUAGUAGUAGUACUAGUGGUAGUAGUAGUAGUAGUAGUAGUAGUAGUAGUAGUAGUAGUAGUAGUCGUAGUGGUAGUAGGCUUAGCAGUAGUAGUAGUACUAGUGGUAACACUAGCAGUAGUAUUAGUCAUAGUAGUGGUAGUAGUAGUAGUAGUAGUAGUAGUAGUAGUAGUAGUAGUAGUAGUAGUAGUAGUAGUGGUAGUAGGCCUAGCAGUAGUAGUAGUGGUACUAUUGGUGGUAGUUGUAAGACUAGUGGUGGUAGUAGGCCUAGUGGUAGUAUCCCUAGUGGAAGUAGUAGUAGUGGAAGGAUUAGUAGUGGUAGUAGUAGUAGUGGUAGUAGGUCUAGUGGUGGUAGUAGUAUUAGUAGUAGUGAUAGUAGACUUAGUGGUAGUAGUAGUAGUAUUAGUGUUAGUAGGCCUAUUGGUAGUAGACCUAGUGGUAGUAGUACAAGUUGUUGGCCUUGUGGUAGUGGUAUUAGUGGUGGUAGUGGUACUCGUGGUAGUAGUUGUAGUAGUAGUGGUAGUGGUAUUAGUGGUAGUAGUAGUACUCGUGGUAGUAGUUGUAGUAGUAGUGGUAGUAGUAGUAGUCGUGGUAGUAGUACUCGUGGUAGUAGUUGUAGUAGUAGUGGUAGUGGUAUUAGUGGUGGUAGUAGUACUCGUGGUAGUAGUUGUAGUAGUAGUUGUAGUAGUAGUAGUCGUGGUUGUGGUACUCGUGGUAGUAGUUGUAGUAGUAGUGGUAGUAGGCCUUGUGGUAGUUGUAUUAGUGGUGGUAGUUGUACUCGUGGUAGUAGUUGUAGUAGUAGUGGUAGUAGGCCUAGUGGUUGUGGUAUUAGUGGUGGUAGUAUUCUCAAGCUUAUGAAAAAAGUGUUUCAAGACAAAGGAGGGUGA